AGUGUUAGAUCCAUUAUGUUAACCCUUUAUAGGAUUUCUAACAAUUGUAGAAUUCUUGUCUUUAAAAUAAGUUAUUUUGAAAUAUCAACUAUCAGAUUAGCAGAAACUUCCAAAGAUUAUCCAAACAGAGUUACCGCAGCAAAGCAGCAAUGGUGUCUACUUUAUUUUACAAGUCAAAUAACAUGGGUGGAUAUAAGCCUUAAAACUCUCUGUCACACCAAAAUUCAGAGUUAGAGGAGGAAAACUACCUUCCACAGCUGCAAAAAUGAAAGCCUGAAAUUCUAUUUACAAGAUGACGCCCAGGUCAAUUUGAAAAAAGAAAAAGAAAAACUGAAGAGCAUAUGUUCCACAUUUUGCUAAGGGACACCAAUCAACCCCCUCAACCAUGAUCCUUGGUUCAGUGUCUGCCCGACUCCACCCCAGCAGAUUUAAGUGUCUCUGUGCGACGAGGCCUACACACAUUUCAACAACAUUGCCCCCAAUAACCAUAUUAACAGUUCAAUAACCAUGAAGGGAGAUUUUGAUCAACUGCAGGACUCCAAGUGAUUCCAGAGUUCAUUGAGUAGUAAGUGUUUUUGAGCUUAAGUUGUCUCAAAAUUUUCAAGCAUAUGCCCGAGGUUUUUAGUACUUCAGUUGUUUGUAGUUUGGUUUGUGGUAUGAGCUUUAAAAGGAAGCAGCCUGUGAGAACUAUGUCUUGGAAUGGGCUCUUCUAAUUUUCCUAUGCCAGGGGAUUUAAUAUGGCUCAGGCUUCAUGGAUUAUCAUGGUGGCCAGCUCAGGUUGUUAAUGAGAAUCUGUGAGUAGAAGCAAUAAAGCCGGUAAUAGAUCAGAGAAUGAGGUUCUUGUUCGUGUGUAUGGAAGCUAUAUCCAGUCAGUGGUUCUAUCCUUGAUUGACAGUACUUAGAUUUCACAGCUCUUUUACAUUUGUAUGCUUUGGAAUCUUGUGUCUCUUGCAGGUUGUAUGUCGAUCCAAGGAAAUAAUAUUUUAUAUUAUUUUUA
Molecule: long non-coding RNA, 997 nt
Organism: Vitis vinifera (wine grape)
Lineage: Eukaryota; Viridiplantae; Streptophyta; Magnoliopsida; Vitales; Vitaceae
Exons: 2
Source: RefSeq, a predicted model, not a curated record